UGGUAAUGCCGGAUGCUCCAGUUGGAUGCAUGUCCUUCUGGGAAAGAUUCAUCGGUAUGGGAUGGGGUCGCGUCCUAUCAGCUUGAUGGCGGGGUAACGGCCCACCAUGGCUUCGACGGGUAGCCGGCCUGAGAGGGCGACCGGCCACAUUGGGACUGAGAUACGGCCCAGACUCCUACGGGAGGCAGCAGUGGGGAAUAUUGCACAAUGGGCGCAAGCCUGAUGCAGCGACGCCGCGUGCGGGAUGACGGCCUUCGGGUUGUAAACCGCUUUUGACUGGGAGCAAGCCCUUCGGGGUGAGUGUACCUUUCGAAUAAGCACCGGCUAACUACGUGCCAGCAGCCGCGGUAAUACGUAGGGUGCAAGCGUUAUCCGGAAUUAUUGGGCGUAAAGGGCUCGUAGGCGGUUCGUCGCGUCCGGUGUGAAAGUCCAUCGCUUAACGGUGGAUCCGCGCCGGGUACGGGCGGGCUUGAGUGCGGUAGGGGAGACUGGAAUUCCCGGUGUAACGGUGGAAUGUGUAGAUAUCGGAAAAGAACACCA
Molecule: ribosomal RNA, 540 nt
Filed under: Bifidobacterium adolescentis
Lineage: Bacteria; Bacillati; Actinomycetota; Actinomycetes; Bifidobacteriales; Bifidobacteriaceae
Description: bacterial SSU rRNA
Rfam family: Bacterial small subunit ribosomal RNA
Source: RNAcentral